AAUAAUUUAAUAAUAAGGGCUUUAAGCGCAAAUGCAAAAUCUUUCAGUCUAAGUUCGAGAAAGAUUUCAGACUUGCCUAAAUCAGUUGCACGCCUAAAGUGCAUUUUGGCACUGCAUUUAAACAACAACCUCCUUUCAGAUUUACCAACAGAGCUGCAGUCACUACAGCAGCUGACAGAGCUAAAUUUGGGAAAUAACAUUCUUCUGGAGAUUCCAGUGGUUCUGAAUCACCUGCACGCGUUAAGAAAACUGUAUUUGUUCGGAAACAAGAUCGAAAGUUUACCGCCAGAUAUUUUCGAAGAACUACCUAACCUUACACUUCUCAAUGUGAACCAUAAUAAAAUCAAAGUAAUACCUCCACAGAUAAAAAGCCUUGAGAAUCUGGAGGUUUUCAGUAUCAAGGAUAACUUGCUAGAGUUUGUCCCUGCUGAGCUAGGCUGUCUUGUACAGCUAACUGAAAUCAAUUUGACCAACAAUAAAGUGUCCUCCCUGCCACCAGAGUUGACCAGACUGUCAAAUCUGAGGAAACUGUACUUGGCAAGAAAUAACCUGUAUGAACUGCCAGAGGGCAUAAGUGGCUGCAAAAGUCUUAGAAUACUGGAUGUUGCUGGAAACUUUCUGACCGUGUUUCCCACUGAUUUUGGUUUCCUUGCCCUAGAGGAGCUGCUCUGUGAGGGCAAUAGCCUUGUCCAUGCAGACUUAAUGAAGUCCGUUCAGGAGAUAGAGGUUUUGACAUUAAAGGAGCUGGCCGCACGGGAGGUGCUGAUGGAGAAGAGGAACGAGUGGUCGGUGGUUCACCGGACACUACCCCUCUACCCUGAGCUGGUCAGCAUGCUGUCUCAGUGGGGGUGGUGUGCCGUCUGCCACAAGCCUUUCCUCACCACCUGGUUGGAGUGUGUCCAGUUUGUCAACCUCAAAAAAGACAUGGGCAUGAAAAGGAACCUGACAGUGCCGGUUCGAGCGGUUUUGUGUUCCUACACCUGCUUCAAUGAGAAAGGUCACUCAUACUAUGGAAUUGCAUCAACAUCUUAAAGUGAAUUAAAAUCCUAUUUCAUUUGUUCAGAUCUGCUUGGGAUAUUUCUGCUGGUAGAUUUAAAUAUCGUGGGAUAGAAUUGUCUUGUGUAAAAUCUGUCAGGCAACCGUCACAUUCAGAGUACCUUUAAUGUCCAGCAGAUGGCAGCAUGGGAUCACUGACACUGGGCCAUACACACACUGACAUGAUGCGCAUGUUGCAUGUUGUUGCUCAGUGUGGAUUCAGUGGAAGUUCACAAUUGUGCCUCAUAUAAGUAAGACUUUUGCCCAUAAAAGGAAGGAUCUCUUCUGAAAAGCAUCUCAACCCAGCUUGUCUUUAAGCUAAGUUAUUUUUUUUUUAGUAAAAACAACAACAACAACAACGAAAAAACCUCUAUCACACCAGAACAAAACACCAUAUGUUACCUGUCUGUCAGUUUCUAAGAUACCAGCCCCUUCCAUCUUAAAUGAGUCCACCCCAGAUUUAUUCCUCCCGUUUGCCUUCUUUAGAUGCCCCUCACAGUCCUGGCGGUAGAUUGUGUUUAACAAUAUAUUCCCCGCCACCUGUGUGCCACCACCACAAUCGCACCUCGUUUCAGCCCACAGCACAAAAGCGCACUUUGU
Molecule: long non-coding RNA, 1635 nt
Organism: Sardina pilchardus (European sardine)
Lineage: Eukaryota; Metazoa; Chordata; Actinopteri; Clupeiformes; Clupeidae
Exons: 8
Source: RefSeq, a predicted model, not a curated record